UACGGGGGGGGCAAGCGUUGUUCGGAAUUACUGGGCGUAAAGGGCGCGUAGGCGGUUUGCUAAGUUGGAUGUGAAAACUCUGGGCUUAACCCAGAGCCUGCAUCCAAAACUGGCAAACUUGAGUACUGGAGGGGAAAUCGGAAUUCCUGGUGUAGCGGUGAAAUGCGUAGAUAUCAGGAGGAACACCGGUGGCGAAGGCGGCUUUCUGGACAGUAACUGACGCUGAGGCGCGAAAGCUAGGGGAGCAAACAGG
This 253-nucleotide ribosomal RNA is filed under the name uncultured bacterium. RNAcentral describes it as "partial 16S ribosomal RNA". It matches the Rfam family "Bacterial small subunit ribosomal RNA", at positions 524 to 776 of the family's 1533-position model. The record is from RNAcentral.